RNAcentral lists this long non-coding RNA (327 nucleotides) under Brassica rapa (field mustard). RNAcentral describes it as "long non-coding RNA (BRAP_LNC000585)". Lineage: Eukaryota; Viridiplantae; Streptophyta; Magnoliopsida; Brassicales; Brassicaceae. The record is from RNAcentral.
GGAGAUCUGCAUAAAGUGUAAUUUUUUUUGUCUUUUUCUUUUUAAAAGCAGACCAUCUGCUUGCGUUUCUACUCCUACAGUUUUGAUGCUGUUCAACCAUCUCAUUAUCUUUAUAGCCAAUAGAAAAUUUUCAAUGUAAUAAAUUAAUUCUUAAAAUACUGAUUUAUCAUCAAUAAAAAUACCACGUUCUACUGACGAAAAAUAUUUGCUUAAGUGCAAAGUUCAUAUUUUCUCACACGCACACAUGCACGUAAACUUCAGUAACUCUUUCCUUAUGUAAUUACUCAUUCUCUUCAAUUUUUUUUUUAAAAUAAAUUUCUUUCUCUU